GACGAACCGUGCGAACGUUGUUCGGAAUCACUGGGCUUAAAGGGCGCGUAGGCGGGUUCGCAAGUCAGGGGUGAAAUCUUUCAGCUUAACUGGAAAACAGCCCCUGAUACUGCGAGUCUCGAGGGAGGUAGGGGCAUGUGGAACUUCCGGUGGAGCGGUGAAAUGCGUAGAUAUCGGAAAGAACACCAACGGCGAAAGCACUCUGCUGGGCCGACACUGACACUGAGAGACGAAAGCUAGGGGAGCGAAUGGG
RNAcentral lists this ribosomal RNA (253 nucleotides) under uncultured bacterium. RNAcentral's name for it is "partial 16S ribosomal RNA". It matches the Rfam family "Bacterial small subunit ribosomal RNA", at positions 524 to 776 of the family's 1533-position model. The record is from RNAcentral.